This 173-nucleotide ribosomal RNA is filed under the name uncultured bacterium. RNAcentral describes it as "partial 16S ribosomal RNA". It matches the Rfam family "Bacterial small subunit ribosomal RNA", at positions 1320 to 1500 of the family's 1533-position model. The record is from RNAcentral.
AUGAAGCUGGAUUCGCUAGUAAUCGCGCAUCAGCCACGGCGCGGUGAAUACGUUCCCGGGCCUUGUACACACCGCCCGUCAAGCCAUGGAAGCCGGGAGUGCCUGAAGUGCGUGAGCGCAAGCAGCGCCCUAAGGUAAAGCCGGUGACUGGGGCUAAGUCGUAACAAGGUAAC